UUGCCAGACUCCUACGGGAGGCAGCAGUGGGGAAUAUUGCACAAUGGGGGAAACCCUGAUGCAGCGACGCCGCGUGAGUGAAGAAGUAUUUCGGUAUGUAAAGCUCUAUCAGCAGGGAAGAAAAUGACGGUACCUGACUAAGAAGCUCCGGCUAAAUACGUGCCAGCAGCCGCGGUAAUACGUAUGGAGCAAGCGUUAUCCGGAUUUACUGGGUGUAAAGGGAGCGCAGGCGGUCCGGCAAGUCUGAUGUGAAAGGCGGGGGCUCAACCCCCGGACUGCAUUGGAAACUGUCGGGCUGGAGUGUCGGAGGGGCAGGCGGAAUUCCUAGUGUAGCGGUGAAAUGCGUAGAUAUUAGGAGGAACACCGGUGGCGAAGGCGGCCUGCUGGACGACAACUGACGCUGAGGCUCGAAAGCGUGGGGAGCAAACAGGAUUAGAUACCCUCGUAU
Molecule: ribosomal RNA, 448 nt
Filed under: uncultured bacterium
Lineage: Bacteria
Description: bacterial SSU rRNA
Rfam family: Bacterial small subunit ribosomal RNA
Source: RNAcentral